RNAcentral lists this ribosomal RNA (823 nucleotides) under metagenome. RNAcentral describes it as "bacterial SSU rRNA". It matches the Rfam family "Bacterial small subunit ribosomal RNA", at positions 656 to 1458 of the family's 1533-position model. The record is from RNAcentral.
AUUGAUGAGAAUUCUUAGGGUAGGGGUAAAAUUCGUAGAGUUUAAGAGGAAUACUUGGAGCGGAGGCGAAUCAUUGGAUAAUUUUGCGACAUUUGAGGACGAAAGCUUCGGUAGCAAAUGGGAUUAGAUACCCCAGUAGUCUUGGCCUUAAACAAUGGAGAUUAAAUCUUUUUUUAUAUCCUAUUUAUAUGAAUUUAUACUAAGGAUUUAAGUUAACGCGAUAAAUCUCCCGCCUGGGAAGUAUGUUCGCAAGAAUUAAACUUAAAGGAAUUGACGGGGNNNUGCACAAGCGGUGGAGUAUGUGGNUUAAUUCGAUGCAACGCGAAGAACCUUACCNGGCCUUGACAUGUAGUGGCCCGGGUGCGAAAUCACCCUUUUCUUCGGAACUGCUACACAGGUGCUGCAUGGCUGUCGUCAGCUCGUGUCGUGAGAUGUUGGGUUAAGUCCCGCAACGAGCGCAACCCCCGUGUUCUGUUGCCACCCGGAUGAGAAUCCGGAGCACUCUGGACAGACUGCCUGGUUUCAACCAGGAGGAAGGUGGGGAUGACGUCAAGUCAGUAUGGCCCUUACGGCCAGGGCUGCACACGUACUACAAUGCCCGGUACAAUGGGAAGCGAGACCGCGAGGUGGAGCAAAUCCUAAAAACCGGGCCCAGUUCAGAUUGUAGGCUGCAACUCGCCUACAUGAAGGAGGAAUCGCUAGUAAUGCCGUAUCAGCUACGACGGCGUGAAUACGUUCCCAGGCCUUGUACACACCGCCCGUCACAUCAUGAAAGUCGAUUGUACCCGAAGUCGCCGAGUUAACCGCAAGGAGACAAGCGCCG